GCUCGGAUAAUCCAUGUGAUGGAUUUGAAAAAGAUUGAAAUACAAUGUGGAUGACUUAUCUAGGAUUGACAGUUAAAUCCUAGGUCAUCCUCGAGUAUUAGGAUCAAAGAGAUGAAUUAUACGAUAACCAUAUAACAAUAGAUUCUUGAAUGUUGCUUCACCUUCAUUCGAUCUAUCCGAAUGUUGGAUCACCAUUACUAAAUGGUUACAUCGAUUGAUUCAAGAAGUUGUUUCUAUGCCACCGACUUAGGUUCGAAUCUAUUGGGUAACAUUCAAAAAAAAAUUUUGACUGAUUAUGUGGCUAAUCAAUGAUUGAGAAUCAUUCAAGGACUCAAU
RNAcentral lists this long non-coding RNA (336 nucleotides) under Elaeis guineensis (African oil palm). Its description in RNAcentral is "long non-coding RNA (EGUI_LNC082818)". The record is from RNAcentral. Lineage: Eukaryota; Viridiplantae; Streptophyta; Magnoliopsida; Arecales; Arecaceae.